Tursiops truncatus (common bottlenose dolphin) is the source of this 169-nucleotide small nuclear RNA. Its record names the gene U1. It matches the Rfam family "U1 spliceosomal RNA". Rfam says of the family: U1 is a small nuclear RNA (snRNA) component of the spliceosome (involved in pre-mRNA splicing). Its 5' end forms complementary base pairs with the 5' splice junction, thus defining the 5' donor site of an intron. There are significant differences in sequence and secondary structure between metazoan and yeast U1 snRNAs, the latter being much longer (568 nucleotides as compared to 164 nucleotides in human). Lineage: Eukaryota; Metazoa; Chordata; Mammalia; Artiodactyla; Delphinidae. The record is from Ensembl.
AGAGUUACCUAGCAGGAGAAGUACCACGAUCUUGAAGGUGCUUUCUCCAGGGCAAAGUCUUGUCCAUUGCCUUCAUGAUGUGCUGACCUCUGUGAUUCCCCUACUAGUGAGAAACUCGACUUCAGAAUCUCUGCUUGAUAAUACCUAGAUAGUAAAAAGUAUAUAUUCG